Molecule: long non-coding RNA, 457 nt
Filed under: Homo sapiens (human)
Lineage: Eukaryota; Metazoa; Chordata; Mammalia; Primates; Hominidae
Description: HSALNT0308113
Source: RNAcentral
GAACUAAAAGGGCCCUCAGAGAGAAUCUCGCCUGAUCCAUUCAUUUUGAAUAAUACAAACUGACUUUCUUCAUUCUGGACGACUUUUUCCAAGGUGGCAGCCUGUACAGUGAUCUUCCUUUCCCUGAAAAUCCACAGGGGCAACGAGCCCAACUAGCAACAUUCAAUAUCUGGGCUUCACCUUGACCCAGAAAAUGCAAAUCAAACUAUGCUGAAAGCUUCAUACAAAGGAACUGAAAAGUUGAACAGUUCUCCCUUCCAGCCAAGGGCAGAAAUGAGGAACCUGCCAGAUCGGAGAGUUCCCAAAUCUAAUCACCAUUUAUGCUAGAAUUCCUUCAGCUGCAAAUAAUGCAGGGUCUCAUCUUAGCAGUGACAAGAUAUCUGCCAGCAGCACCAGGCCUACAUCUUCCCAGCUUUAAAUUCAGUGAAAAGACAGGAUCUCUUUCUAAAGCACUGCA